Molecule: ribosomal RNA, 500 nt
Filed under: uncultured bacterium
Lineage: Bacteria
Description: partial 16S ribosomal RNA
Rfam family: Bacterial small subunit ribosomal RNA
Source: RNAcentral
AUUGAACGCUGGCGGAAUGCUUUACACAUGCAAGUCGAACGGCAGCACGGACUUCGGUCUGGUGGCGAGUGGCGAACGGGUGAGUAAUACAUCGGAACGUGCCCAGUCGUAGGGGAUAACGUAGCGAAAGCUACGCUAAUACCGCAUACGAUCUAAGGAUGAAAGCGGGGGAUCGCAAGACCUCGCGCGAUUGGAGCGGCCGAUGGCAGAUUAGGUAGUUGGUGGGGUAAAGGCUCACCAAGCCGACGAUCUGUAGCUGGUCUGAGAGGACGACCAGCCACACUGGGACUGAGACACGGCCCAGACUCCUACGGGAGGCAGCAGUGGGGAAUUUUGGACAAUGGGCGCAAGCCUGAUCCAGCCAUUCCGCGUGCAGGAUGAAGGCCCUCGGGUUGUAAACUGCUUUUGUACGGAACGAAAAGGCUCUGGUUAAUACCUGGGGCUCAUGACGGUACCGUAAGAAUAAGCACCGGCUAACUACGUGCCAGCAGCCGCAGUAA